CCUACGGGUGGCAGCAGUGAGGAAUAUUGGUCAAUGGACGAGAGUCUGAACCAGCCAAGUAGCGUGAAGGAUGACUGCCCUAUGGGUUGUAAACUUCUUUUAUAUGGGAAUAAAAUGUUCCACGUGUGCGUUUUUGUAUGUACCAUAUGAAUAAGGAUCGGCUAACUCCGUGCCAGCAGCCGCGGUAAUACGGAGGGUCCGAGCGUUAUCCGGAAUUAUUGGGUUUAAAGGGAGCGUAGGUGGGUUGUUAAGUCAGUUGUGAAAGUUUGCGGCUCAACCGUAAAAUUGCAGUUGAAACUGGCAGUCUUGAGUACAGUAGAGGUAGGCGGAAUUCGUGGUGUAGCGGUGAAAUGCUUAGAUAUCACGAAGAACUCCGAUUGCGAAGGCAGCUCACUGGACUGCAACUGACACUGAGGCUCGAAAGUGUGGGUAUCAAACAGGAUUAGAUACCCCUGUAGUC
RNAcentral lists this ribosomal RNA (460 nucleotides) under uncultured bacterium. RNAcentral describes it as "partial 16S ribosomal RNA". It matches the Rfam family "Bacterial small subunit ribosomal RNA", at positions 338 to 795 of the family's 1533-position model. The record is from RNAcentral.